AACGGCCAUACCAUGCUGAAUAUACCGGUUCUCGUUAGAUCACCGAAGUCAAGCAUCAUUGGGCGCGGUCAGUACUUGGGCGGGUGACCACCUGGGAACACCGCGUGCCGU
RNAcentral lists this ribosomal RNA (111 nucleotides) under Caerostris darwini. The record is from RNAcentral. Lineage: Eukaryota; Metazoa; Arthropoda; Arachnida; Araneae; Araneidae.